Phrynosoma platyrhinos (Desert horned lizard) is the source of this 72-nucleotide non-coding RNA. The record is from the annotation of a GenBank genome assembly. NCBI's taxonomy places the organism in Eukaryota, Metazoa, Chordata, Lepidosauria, Squamata, Phrynosomatidae.
GUCAGUGUAGUUCAGUGGUUUGAACAUUGGACUAUAACUCUAGAGACUAUGGUUUGAUUCCCAGCUUAGCCA